CCUAUUAUAUUUAAACAAACUAAGGUAAUAAUAAACUAUAAACAAACCUAUUUACCCUGGCGGCAAUUCACCUUAUUAAAGGAACUUGUUUAAUAAUCGACAAUCCACGCUUAAUUUUACUAAGAUCAAUAAUUUAUAUACCGCCAUUUUAAGAAUUUAUUUACACAAAUUAUUCUAAAUAUCUUUAUAACUAAAAAAUUAGGUCAAGGUGUAAUUUACAUUUUAGAAACAAAUGAGUUACAAUAAAUAUUAUUUAAAGAUUCUUAACUAAAAAACUAACAUGAAAAGGGAUUUAAAUGUAAUAUUUAAAUAACAAUUAAAUAUGAAUAAGACAAUAAAUGUGCACACAUCG
RNAcentral lists this ribosomal RNA (352 nucleotides) under Ctenus inaja. RNAcentral's name for it is "partial small subunit ribosomal RNA". Lineage: Eukaryota; Metazoa; Arthropoda; Arachnida; Araneae; Ctenidae. The record is from RNAcentral.